AUUAAUCAAAUUCUUAAAUGCAUAAACAUAUGUAAGUCUGUUAUGUGAUUCAUUUAGUUGGUCGAUUAGCUUUGACACAUUUCGGUUCCCGGUUAAAUAUCAAAUAUGAUGUCUUGGGACCAUUUUUGGUUCCAAGUUUUCCGCAGUUGCGUGUCGUUACCUUGUUAUAAGGUGAAACAUUUUUCUUCUCUUAGAUUGUGUCCUCAGAACGUGUUGAAGUAAUUGCCUCAAUCUUGAUUUUUAAGGCAAUGGAUGAAGACAUAGUUCUCUAGACCUAUAUUUAGAACUAUAAUUUAAUGCGAUGUUGUACAAAUUUAUUUUAUGGACAGCUCAUUUUAGCUUUUCUCUAAUGCCAGAUGCAAGGAGUGGUAAACUUUUUUGGCCGCAUUUCAAUUCUUAUUGACCAAAAUACUCGAGCCUUCCACAUGUUUAUGACAGCGCUUCUUCAGCUUUUCGAUCGAUCUGGAAUGUUAUAUGGUGAGCUUGCUAGAUUUGUGUUGAGCUUGCUGGGGAUCAGGACAAAGCCCAGGAAAGUCCACCCACCAGGCCCUGACGGACUUCCACUUCCUGGACCGGGCAACCCUCAUGCCGUUCGGGGCUACAGUGAGGAACCAAAGGCCGCUCCGACUGGUUCUUGGAACAAUGUUUGGGAAAAUGAUGCCUCUAGAUAAUGUUGGAUCAGCUACUUUGCCUGAGUGCACACAAAUCGGUCAAGAACGCAAUUCCUGUGCGUGAGUGCGUGCGUGUGUGGAUUUCUCGAGCGGACUGGAUCUCUGUUGUGCUUUAGUGUAAUUUGUUAUCGUGCAGAAAGCACAUAUGAUAAAUAAUAAAAGUGCGAUGGCUUGGUUGAGAAAUCUUGAUUAUAGUCGCAAUAGCUACUGGAAUGUGUUGAGUGAGAACUCAUUCCUGUUAAUUAUGUUGCACCAGUGAAUGUGUUGGAAACAGCAAAUUAAAGAUUUGUUUUGGGAGGGUUGGACUGGCAAGAAUAUAGACCAUUGGGAAAUGAUUUUCAAUGGCGGUUGUUCGCGUA
Syzygium oleosum is the source of this 1030-nucleotide long non-coding RNA. RefSeq lists it as uncharacterized. The transcript has 2 exons. The record is from RefSeq and is a predicted model, not a curated record. Lineage: Eukaryota; Viridiplantae; Streptophyta; Magnoliopsida; Myrtales; Myrtaceae.